This 257-nucleotide long non-coding RNA is filed under the name Nicotiana benthamiana. RNAcentral's name for it is "long non-coding RNA (NBEN_LNC025609)". The record is from RNAcentral. Lineage: Eukaryota; Viridiplantae; Streptophyta; Magnoliopsida; Solanales; Solanaceae.
UUCCAGUAAGUUUUUAGCAUAGCAGGAAAUUCCUUAUGCUGGAUCCAAGCAUUGAAGAAUCUGAAUGGUGUCUUCCUUGUAGAUGUAUCUGUUGUCAGGUUUAGUAACAUGGGAUUGUGAUCAGAUAUAAGGGGAGGUCCAUAUACAGUGUGCACAUGGUUCCACUUCAUCUGCCAUUCAAAGUUACCAAGCACUCUAUCCAGUCUACUACAUACUCUAUCAUUACCACUUUGUUGAAUAGACCAGGUAAAAUAAUU